AUUGAACGCUGGCGGCAGGCCUAACACAUGCAAGUCGAACGGUAACAGGAAACAGCUUGCUGUUUCGCUGACGAGUGGCGGACGGGUGAGUAAUGUCUGGGAAACUGCCUGAUGGAGGGGGAUAACUACUGGAAACGGUAGCUAAUACCGCAUAACGUCGCAAGACCAAAGAGGGGGACCCUCGGGCCUCUUGCCAUCGGCUGUGCCCAGAUGGGAUUAGCUUGUUGGUGGGGUAACGGCUCACCAAGGCGACGAUCCCUAGCUGGUCUGAGAGGAUGACCAGCCACACGGGAACUGAGACACGGUCCAGACUCCUACGGGAGGCAGCAGUGGGGAAUAUUGCACAAUGGGUGAAAGCCUGAUGCAGCCAUGCCGCGUGUAUGAAGAAGGCCUUCGGGUUGUAAAGUACUUUCAGCGGGGAGGAAGGGAGUAAAGUUAAUACCUUUGCUCAUGGACGUUACCCGCAGAAGAAGCACCGGCUAACUCCGU
Molecule: ribosomal RNA, 489 nt
Filed under: uncultured bacterium
Lineage: Bacteria
Description: partial 16S ribosomal RNA
Rfam family: Bacterial small subunit ribosomal RNA
Source: RNAcentral